This 1419-nucleotide long non-coding RNA is filed under the name Zostera marina. RNAcentral's name for it is "long non-coding RNA (ZMAR_LNC002036)". Lineage: Eukaryota; Viridiplantae; Streptophyta; Magnoliopsida; Alismatales; Zosteraceae. The record is from RNAcentral.
AACAAACGAUUACAUAGAUUUCUCUCGAAGGAAAGUUUACAUGACGACCAAAUAGAAUCUACAACUAAUACAAUACUACAACUACUUUGUGUUCGGGGACCUAAUACGAUCCUUAUUACAACAAAAAAUAGUCAAUGACACUACUACUUCGCGUCACCCCCUACGCCGACACCUCGACAAGUCCUUUGUCUCCUACCCCUCCAGUUAGGCAAGGUUGCCUCCAUUCCCUGCACAAGUCAUGUAUCCGUAUGUGACUACAUCACUCAGCAUGUAAGUAUAGGUUCCAACAAGUAAUAACAAUAGCAAUUAACAUAAUACAUGUGUAUAUAAUAUUCAAUCUGAUGAUACCAAUCAAUCAUCAUUCAUGCGCCUAAUGGGUCAUCACUCGUCAUUCGUCAUUCGUUAGGCGUCACAACACCCCUGUCAUAACUCAUUCAUGCUUUGAUUCAUUGAUGAAUCUCAUUCAUACAUACAAUGCUAUUCUUAUUCUCUUGUCCAUUCAUGUAUAUUUCCCCUCUAAUCCUAUUAUCAUUUUAAAACAACAAGUAUUCGAAAACAACCCACAAGAUAAUUAUCUUAUUUGCUAACACAUGGCACCCCGAUAAUAUGUUCAUUAUUUAAAACAGAAAUAAUUAAUCGAACCAACCCACGUGAUAAUUAACUUAUAUGCAAUUCAAACAUGCACCCGAUAGCAUUUUAGUCAUUAAAACAGCAACAUAAAUACUACAACCCACUCACAUGGUAAAUACCCUAUAUGCUACCAAUAUGCAUCAUCUAAAAACAAAGAUAAAUAAACUGCAAUAGAAUCGAUAGCAGCAAACUAAAACAACAAUAUAAUAUUAAACAUGGAUAGUUGAUAUGCAAAUCACUCAUGCAUUCCGACACCUAAAGCCAACAGUAGAAUAAUAGACCCAACAUUUCAAAAAUAUGGACAGCAAUACAUAUAGACAGCAACAAAAUAAAGAUAGCAAUAUCACAUGAAACCCAACUAAACUCAAUCAUCAACAGAAAUCGACAGCAACAAAAUAGAGGAAAAUAUGGCACUGAACCCAACUAAACUCAAUCAUCAACAGAGAAUCAGAAGCAACAAUAUAAAGAAAAUAUAAUAUUAACAUCACUCAACCCAAUCCUCAACAGUAAACCAUCGAUAGUGAAAUCUAUGGAUCGGAUGACCCAAGGUGUUUGGGGACCUUACCAUUUCCCUACAUUAUCAUCUAGGAACGUAUUCAUCAAGAUCGGAUCUACUCCGAUACUUCUUUCAUUUAUCAUCUACCCUUCCUUCCUAUCAACCAUGUCCCUUAUCUUAGUCUCGAAUCUAACACUCUACAUACCUCUUCCGCGGCUUGUCGAGCUUCACACCUCCCACACCACGACACCGGUGCUCCCUUACAGAUCCCAACCACGAUGCUCCCCUCCUAG